Molecule: long non-coding RNA, 1172 nt
Organism: Mesocricetus auratus (golden hamster)
Lineage: Eukaryota; Metazoa; Chordata; Mammalia; Rodentia; Cricetidae
Exons: 2
Source: RefSeq, a predicted model, not a curated record
UGGGUGCCACUGCCCCCAGGACACCCUGAGCUUCCCCGGGAACUUCCUCUCCUCUCCUCACAGGCUUGCUUCUGAAUUUUUCAGCCUGCCCAGGGGAGAGCAGAAACGGCUGUGUCCGAACCGGCGAGUCUUGAGUUGCGAGUGGGCACGUGGGAGUUCCUGCCACGUUUCUUCCGCAGAUGUUGGAAAUUUUCCAUAAUAAAAAGUUAAACUCUGCUGGCAGGAAGGAGCCUGCUGCCUGCUCUGGGGCCGUUCUCGCUCUAUGUGGUGAGGGGCUGUCUUUUUCCACCAUUAAUUUGUGCUACUGAGCUGGGGUGGGUGACUCUUCCUGAUGGGACCGCCUGGAACGAGAUGCUCCCACCCCCCAAACAACUCCUCAGGUGCUGGCUUUGGUGCCCCCCACUCCGAAGCCCAUUCACCCAAAACACACUGGUCGCGCUGGAGUUCAGCGUGGAGGCACCCGUCAUGGUCAGGGACAGGAAACAGGAGGAUGAACUCAUUUGCAUAUGCAAAGAAGGCUGCUGACGGAGUGACAAAGGAGGGAAGGAAGUCUGUGUCUGGGCCUCAGCCUCAGGGCCCACGGGCAGCCGAGAGGAUCCUUGUUCUGCGCGGGCAGCCGUCAGCCAGCUGGCGCAGGCAGCUCCUCCAGAAAAAGGGAUCUCGAAACAUGGACGGGAGAGUCCGGCCUUUGCCUGUCCUGUUGGCCCUGGGCAACAGGUGCCCCAAACACAGGGUGAUGUGCGCUACAAGACUAACCGUGGUAGACGCCGCCUUCUGCAAGCCCUGAAGGAGGGGAGAAGCGCUUGGGGGUGGGGAGCGUUUCCCCCAGGCUUUCAGGCAGCCCUUCCAGAACUGCUCCCUUUAACCCUGUCCCCGGAACCUGCUUUCUUCUGGGUGGGAAGUUUGCUCAUUUCUGUAGCGGCUGUCCACAGCUGCUACGCUGACCCCAAGGACUGUGGGGGCGGACGGGACAGUGUGGCCUAGUGGUCCUCCCUGCUCCCUUACAAAGCGGUGCUCAGGCUUGCAGGGGCGUUGCCCGUGCUGGGUGUCCUGGCCCACUGGGUCUUCCGACGCCAAAUUGUUUUCUGAUGGCGGCGUCUGUCUCUCUUGAACUCAAUUUGCGUUUUCAAAGCAGCUAAUAGACGCAUUAAAAAAUCCAUUUUCGCUCGGGA